This 505-nucleotide ribosomal RNA is filed under the name uncultured bacterium. RNAcentral describes it as "partial 16S ribosomal RNA". It matches the Rfam family "Bacterial small subunit ribosomal RNA", at positions 31 to 507 of the family's 1533-position model. The record is from RNAcentral.
GAACGCUGGCGGCGUGCCUAAUACAUGCAAGUCGACCGCUUCUUUCCUCCCGAGUGCUUGCCCUCAAUUGGAAAGAGGCGUGGCGGACGGGUGAGUAACACGUGGGUAACCUACCCAUCAGAGGGGGAUAACACUUGGAAACAGGUGCUAAUACCCCAUCACAGUUUAUGCCGCAUGGCAUAAGAGUGAAAGGCGCUUUCGGGUGUCGCUGAUGGUUGGAUCCGCGGUGCAUUAGCUAGUUGGUGAGGUAACGGCUCACCAAGGCCACGAUGCAUAGCCGGCCUGAGAGGGUGACUGGCCACGCUGGGAAUGAGACACGGCCCAGACUCCUACGGGAGGCAGCAGUAGGGAAUGUUCGGCAAUGGACGAAAGUCUGACCGAGCAACGCCGCGUGAGAGAAGAAGGUUUUCGGAUCGUAAAACUCUGUUGUUAGAGAAGAACAAGGACGUUAGUAACUGAACGUGCCCUGACGUUAUCUAACCAGAAAGCCACGGCUAACUACGUG